Molecule: ribosomal RNA, 253 nt
Filed under: uncultured bacterium
Lineage: Bacteria
Description: partial 16S ribosomal RNA
Rfam family: Bacterial small subunit ribosomal RNA
Source: RNAcentral
UACAGAGGUCUCAAGCGUUGUUCGGAUUCAUUGGGCGUAAAGGGUGCGUAGGCGGCGCGGUAAGUCGGGUGUGAAAUCUCGGAGCUUAACUCCGAAACUGCAUUCGAUACUGCCGUGCUUGAGGACUGGAGAGGAGACUGGGAUUUACGGUGUAGCGGUGAAAUGCGUAGAGAUCCGGAAGAACACCGGUGGCGAAGGCGGCCUGCUGGGCAGUGGCUGACACUGAGGCGCGACAGCGUGGGGAGCAAACAGG